This is a long non-coding RNA of Symphalangus syndactylus (siamang), 811 nucleotides long. RefSeq lists it as uncharacterized. The record is from RefSeq and is a predicted model, not a curated record. NCBI's taxonomy places the organism in Eukaryota, Metazoa, Chordata, Mammalia, Primates, Hylobatidae.
UAAUUACCAGCUCUGUGAUCCUUGGCAAGUUGCUUAUCAUCACAAGGUCUUGAUUUCCUCACCCUGAAACCUGGGGAUAAUACUCACUAAGUAGGAGAUAACCUGUAUAAACAGGAAGAACUAGAAACAAUGACCAGAAGUUAUAAAUUAUGACUAGAGGCAUGUUCCAGCCAAGAAAGAGAUAUUCCUUUAUGAUCAUUAGAGCAAUUCAACAAAGCCACCAAUUCUCCUCGGAAAGAAAGACUUUGAAUCUUUUUUGGACUAAAGACCGUGACUUCCUUCCCCACCUGCACCAGGACAGUGAAGAGAUGCUUGUCCUGAGGAGGGCUCCCACGAGAGCCAGGGUACUCCCAGUCAAAGUCCAGCCCGUCAAACUCAUACUGGCGCAGGAAUUUGAUGACUGAGGUGAUGAAAGUCUGGCGGUUCUCAGGAGUAGAAACCACGGUAGUGAAACUGAGGGAGACCCAAAGAAGGCAGGGUGAGGCCUUGGUGGUCCCAACACCUUGGAGUAAAAUCAAGCUCUCAAUUUCUGCCUCAGAGCCCUUCAUCAGGACCCAUAGCCCAGAGUAAAGCAUGUUCUUGGUUUUCUCCUCUCCUUCCUUUGUAAUCACUACUCUUCCCAGCCAUGGUACCUUAACAUUCCCUUUAUUUUGUUAUCCCCUCAACUCUGCUCUUUCUCUCAAGUUGCCAUUGUUUCUUUGAAUACCUGGCAAAUCCAGCACACUGUGUUCCUUCCUCAAACAUGUACCCUCCAAGAAGUCCUCUUGUUUAUUUGUGUGAUUUUCUCAUUCCUCCUCCCACCAGAAGAUAA